RNAcentral lists this long non-coding RNA (327 nucleotides) under Eutrema salsugineum. RNAcentral describes it as "long non-coding RNA (ESAL_LNC001091)". Lineage: Eukaryota; Viridiplantae; Streptophyta; Magnoliopsida; Brassicales; Brassicaceae. The record is from RNAcentral.
AUCCGGAUCUAGGCUCGGAUCCGGAGUCGAAUUUGGCGCGGGUCAAGUCCCAGAAGACUUGGAUAUUGGGGGUGACGAAUCUGGAUCCGCGUUUUCUCCAGAAAGCCAAUGUGUUUAAGUUGAGGUGGAAGGAGACGGCGGAGGAGAGAGAGAGAUCGGCGGAGGAGAAAGAGAGAGGGGAAGAGUGGUUGUAGUAAUCUUGAGAGUGGAGGAAGAGAUUCAGAGAGUGGCCGCCUAAGAAAGUUCGAGACCAUGUGAGAUAGAAGACGCCGUGAUCUGUUUGGUAGAGACAGGUUGUGAGAUUCGGGUCGCCUGAGACUAAAGGAG